AGAUCAAGGCCAUUACCUUUGUUUGGAACAGCCCCUCUGGCGCCACUCUCCUCCUCCUUCUCGAUCUCCAUUGGCACCUCCUUGGCCUUGGCCUUUAUCUCCCUUUUGACCUCAACCUUCUUCUCCUCCUUAACAUCAGGCUUCUUCUCCUCCUUCAGCCUCUUGCUCUCAUUCCCUUCCAAAGCAGCUUCCCUUUCUCUUUCCCCGGCCAUCUUCUUCUUAGCCUUAUCCUUGGCCGCCUUCACCACAGCCGCGAUUUGCUUCUCCACAGUGUCUUCAGCCAUAAAGUCGGUCUCCUUCACCAGAAAAUCGAACAGCCUCUCCAC
This 326-nucleotide unclassified non-coding RNA is filed under the name Hevea brasiliensis (rubber tree). The record is from RNAcentral. Lineage: Eukaryota; Viridiplantae; Streptophyta; Magnoliopsida; Malpighiales; Euphorbiaceae.